RNAcentral lists this ribosomal RNA (506 nucleotides) under uncultured bacterium. Its description in RNAcentral is "bacterial SSU rRNA". It matches the Rfam family "Bacterial small subunit ribosomal RNA", at positions 19 to 518 of the family's 1533-position model. The record is from RNAcentral.
AUGGCUCAGGAUGAACGCUAGCGGCAGGCUUAACACAUGCAAGUCGAGGGGCAACGCGAGUAGCAAUACUUGGCGGCGACCGGCGCAAGGGUGCGUAACGCGUGAGCAACAUGCCCGUAUCAGGGGGAUAAUCCAGGGAAACUUGGUCUAAUACCCCAUAGUAAUUUUGUAAGGCAUCUUAUAAGAUUUAAAGCUUUGGUGGAUACGGAUUGGCUCGCGUGACAUUAGCUGGAUGGUAAGGUAACGGCUUACCAUGGCUAUGAUGUCUAGGGGUUCUGAGAGGAAGGUCCCCCACACUGGAACUGAGACACGGUCCAGACUCCUACGGGAGGCAGCAGUGAGGAAUAUUGGACAAUGGAUGGAAAUCUGAUCCAGCCAUGCCGCGUGAAAAGGAAGAAGGUCCUAUGGAUUGUAAACUUCUUUUGUAUGGGAGCAAUAAGGCCUACGAGUAGGUUGAUGAGAGUACCAUACGAAUAAGCACCGGCUAACUCCGUGCCAGCCGCCGC